CUAAUUAGGUAUGUGUUGGCAAUAGCAAUCCUAUCAGCAUUUUACACAGGAUUGCAAACAUGGAGGCAGGUUUAUGAGCUUUCCACUGCUCGAGAGAUUCUUUCACGGCACAAAACGGCCAUGAUUGACUUUUUUGGUGACCAGAUAGUGGCGUACUUGUUGAUAUCGGCAGCAUCAUCAGCAGUGCCUCUAACAAACAGAAUGAGAGAAGGUGCAGAUAACAUAUUUACAGAUUCGUCGGCAUCUGCAAUUAGCAUGGAAUUCUUUGCUUUCUUCUCACUCUCUUUGUCCUCUCUCAUUUCUGUUUACAAACUCUCUAAUCAAACUUAUAUCUGAUCGAUGAUCACCCAUUCAUAUUCAUUCAUUCAUCAGCAAGUUGUGUUGUUCCUUCACAUUUAUUUUGCUUUUACAUGUAAAUUUAUUUAUUGCUUAUAUAAUUAAUAUAUAUACAAGGAGCUAGGGCUUUUGCUUUUUGAAACUGCAUCGAUCGAUCUGUUUGUAAAGACUAAUGAGAAGAUUUUUUAUUCAGUUCAUGAUUUCUUUGU
This is a non-coding RNA of Erythranthe guttata (spotted monkey flower), 545 nucleotides long. NCBI's taxonomy places the organism in Eukaryota, Viridiplantae, Streptophyta, Magnoliopsida, Lamiales, Phrymaceae. The record is from RefSeq and is a predicted model, not a curated record.